AACGAACGCUGGCGGCAUGCCUAACGCAUGCAAGUCGAACGAGACCUUCGGGUCUAGAGGCGCACGGGUGCGUAACACGUGGGAAUCUGCCCUUGGGUUCGGAAUAACAGUUGGAAACGACUGCUAAUACCGGAUGAUGACGUAAGUCCAAAGAUUUAUCGCCCAAGGAUGAGCCCGCGUCGGAUUAGCUAGUUGGUGGG
Molecule: ribosomal RNA, 200 nt
Filed under: uncultured bacterium
Lineage: Bacteria
Description: partial 16S ribosomal RNA
Rfam family: Bacterial small subunit ribosomal RNA
Source: RNAcentral